CUGAGUGAUGAUGAAAAAUAAUCCAAAACAGAUUUUGUGUAUAAAGCUCCUGUAGCUCGGUGUGUAGGUUAUUUACACCACUUAAUGUUUUUAGUUCGUAUAAGACCGAGUCUAUAAGUUUGUUCUGAUUGAAGAGCUUUUGUUUUAAAUCAUUUAAAUGUUCCGUUGUGGCGCUUUUUACACACACACACGCACGCAAACAUACACACACACACGCACGCACGCAAACAUACACACACACACACGCACGCACGCAAACACACACACACACACACGACACUAGAUACAGACGGUAUUGUGGAGUGAACAACAAACACACGUGACAGAUGGAGUACAGGAGUGAGGAGGGUGAACACACUGCGUCUCCUCGGAGUGUCAUAGUGACUUAUUAUGAAGGAGACAUUAACACUGUGGUGAAUGAACACUUCACUCGCGCUUUGGGGAAAAACUGUGUUCCUAAAGACCUGAGUGUUAAACACCGAGAGAGACAAACACCACACAACCACGAGUUACAGCCUCCUCCCUCAUGGGCUGCAUCCUGGUCCAGGAGGAGUUUGUGUCCUACAGACCACACACGUCACCUGGCCCCAUGUUUCUCUGCUGAGGAAGCAGUUCGGUCUUCAUCAGUGAUCGUCAGUCGGACUGAGACUCCUGCUUCUUGGCACCAACCUCAGAACUACAUGCUGACUCCCUUAGCAUACCAACCAUCAGCAGCUCCAUCGUUCCACAAUCCAGAAUGAGCAGUACAGAUGAGAUUAGAAUGAAGCACCAGCAGGGGACAGCACUGACUCACCAGUACACACUUAUGGUCUGAUGUUUACCUCCGGAACUCUUUCCUGCUCUUUUUGGAAGGGAUGCUGAAUUUCAGCCCUAAUAAUGUGUGUUAGAUGAUGAUGUGAAUCAAUCAUGAAGUUCAUGCUGAACAUCCUGUAAACACAGUGUGUGUGUGUGUGUCUCUGCUCUUCUACUCAUGUACAUCGAAGCCAUUUAUAAUGGGACAAUCUAUGGUCCAUUUCAGUCUGGUUCCUCUCACGGUAACUUCCUCCUAUCAUCUCAGGGACUUCUUCUUUGUCGUUGUUGUUACCACUGGAUUGUUCAUUAGGGAUCUAAAUCUACAUGUGGAUUUCUGUAUUGUGUGAUUAUUUGUGAUUAUUUGUUUAUUUGUGAUAAAGUCUGUUAAUAAACAUGUUAUACAAAUAAACAUCAAAGACUUGAACACGACUAUCAGUGAUAAAGUAAUAAAGUGAACCUCUGACCUGCA
Long non-coding RNA from Tachysurus fulvidraco (yellow catfish), 1261 nucleotides. RefSeq lists it as uncharacterized. The record is from RefSeq and is a predicted model, not a curated record. The transcript is spliced from 5 exons. Lineage: Eukaryota; Metazoa; Chordata; Actinopteri; Siluriformes; Bagridae.